This 265-nucleotide ribosomal RNA is filed under the name unidentified marine bacterioplankton. RNAcentral describes it as "partial 16S ribosomal RNA". It matches the Rfam family "Bacterial small subunit ribosomal RNA", at positions 89 to 339 of the family's 1533-position model. The record is from RNAcentral.
AGUAGAGUGGCGCACGGGUGAGUAACACGUAGGUGACCUACCUCUUUGUUUGGGAUAACUCGAAGAAAUUUGAGCUAAUACCGAAUACGAUCAACAAAUUUGAAAGUAGUUGAUGAAAGAAUGCCUCUUCUUGAAAGCAUUCGCGUAGAGAUGGGCCUGCGGGACAUUAGCUUGUUGGUGGGGUAAUGGCCUACCAAGGCGACGAUGUCUAGCGGAUCUGAGAGGAUGAUCCGUCACACUGGAACUGAGACACGGUCCAGACUCC